This 443-nucleotide ribosomal RNA is filed under the name uncultured bacterium. RNAcentral describes it as "partial 16S ribosomal RNA". It matches the Rfam family "Bacterial small subunit ribosomal RNA", at positions 338 to 795 of the family's 1533-position model. The record is from RNAcentral.
CCUACGGGUGGCAGCAGUGGGGAAUAUUGGGCAAUGGGCGCAAGCCUGACCCAGCAACGCCGCGUGAAGGAAGAAGGCUUUCGGGUUGUAAACUUCUUUUCUUAGGGACGAAGCAAGUGACGGUACCUGCGGAAUAAGCCACGGCUAACUACGUGCCAGCAGCCGCGGUAAUACGUAGGUGGCAAGCGUUAUCCGGAUUUACUGGGUGUAAAGGGCGUGUAGGCGGGACGGCAAGUCAGAUGUGAAAACCAUGGGCUCAACCUAUGGCUUGCAUUUGAAACUGUAGUUCUAGAGUGCUGGAGAGGCAGGCGGAAUGCCUGGUGUAGCGGUGAAAUGCGUAGAGAUUAGGAGGAACACCAGUGGCGAAGGCAGUCUGCUGGACAGCUACUGACGCUGAGGCGCGAAAGCGUGGGGAGCAAACAGGAUUAGAUACCCGAGUAGUC